RNAcentral lists this long non-coding RNA (778 nucleotides) under Mus musculus (house mouse). Its description in RNAcentral is "RIKEN cDNA 2010309G21 gene". Lineage: Eukaryota; Metazoa; Chordata; Mammalia; Rodentia; Muridae. The record is from RNAcentral.
AGAAAACACUGAGAUAACCAACUAUGAUAAACUGCAGUUGGAAUUUAACGACCCAGUGGAUGGGAAACAAAGGGAAGAAAUGAGACUUGAAAAAACAAACAAACAGGGAGAUCAAGUGAAGGGUGGGCAGACCUCUAUUUGACUGAUGCUUGCUCCCUUUGAAGAUCUUCACAGGAUAAGAAGAAGGGACAGAGAAGAGCCCCCAGUGACAGCUUGAGGAGACCACCAGCUGUGUAAAGUCUAUGCAAAGUGUUGAGACCACUAGCUCAAUCUCUGCAGCUCAUGCUGGAAAAAAUCAGAGAGAAACAUCUGAGGCACUUCAGGAGAGAGCAGUUGGAGAACACAUACACAGUCAUCAGUAUCUAUCCACAUCUCAUCUUCCUACACAAGGCCACUGUCACACCACUUGGGGAAAAAUUGGAAAUCAGACACACGAGUGUGGCUUUGUUUUCCUGGAGCUCCUCAGGGGAAGGUGGAAACAUGAAUAUCUAUUGGCACCUACUUCUACAAAAGACCAGCUGAAACAUCUAACCUGGUGGGACUGAGCAACUACUAGAUUCUUCGACUUCCCAUUCACAGUGACUUCUGGCUGUUUCCACUGACUUGGGCUGAUUGACAGAGACUCUUCUGUUUGUUCUGGAUGAACUGCCAUUGCUGAUUCAUAGAGAGAAUCUACAAGUGACUUGAGGUACUGCUGCUGAUCUGUGUGAACUGAACUGCAAAUAUUUUGACAAGAUUGGAAUUGCCCCAAAUAAAUGUUUCUAAAUAGGUCCACAUC